Salvia splendens (bonfire salvia) is the source of this 1204-nucleotide long non-coding RNA. RefSeq lists it as uncharacterized. The record is from RefSeq and is a predicted model, not a curated record. The transcript is spliced from 3 exons. NCBI's taxonomy places the organism in Eukaryota, Viridiplantae, Streptophyta, Magnoliopsida, Lamiales, Lamiaceae.
UAUUAAGCAUAUACUACUAGAUUUGUCUUUUAAGUCAAUUUGUUUGAUGGUGAUGGUGUAAAAUAUUCUUCUUAUACUAAUGCCUUUUUAGGUCAAUGAGGGAGUUUUUCUACAUGAAGAAUAUCAAUUGAUUUUGCUUUUACAGACACUAACUACUCUUGAGUCUUGUCAUCAUAUUAGAACUCAUGAUAUUGCGGAAGCUGCUAUAACUUCAAUCAAUUCUGGAACAGAUACCUUCCACCACCAUGACCCUAUGCCGCUUCCCUUCUACUACUUCAGCUCCAUGAUCUAUGUUUUAUCUCUGAACCAUAUUCACACACUAGAAUGAUAUAGAAUUCCUGAAAUCAGAGGCAUCCAUCUUUUCUGAGAAAAAAUAUGUUUUGACCUUCAUUUCAAAGAUUAUAAAGUUUACAAUGUUGGAGUAGUAACUUUCUUGCUGAGAUUUUUGUAGCAGCACUUCUGCUGCAACAUCAUUUCCUUAUGAUUUCUCUCUCUGCAACAAUGAACAUGAAAAAGGAAAUGAACUAUGAAUUCCUUGAUUAGAAGAUCUUAUGCUGAAAGCUUGUGCCAACCUUGCAUUCUUGAUUUGGACCAAUGAGCUAUUGCCUAUAGACUAUUUACUGCUAGCACUUCAUCGAUAGAGAUGACGAUCCCCGUGCUCUGUGAAUUGCGUUCCAAGUGAGCACCACAUAUCAAAGCUCAAGUAGCAUCACGUGGUGGUCCAUCUGAAGGCCAGAAACCGUUCUAUCCGCUCCAGGAUCCUGGCGCAUAUACACAGUUGGUUCUUCAAACAGCUGUUGUAGAAAUCCUCUCUUCCUAUAACUGUGUCCCGCUUUGUAUCAUCACUUGUUCAGAUCAUUCUUCACAUACAACCAACUUUGGUUCAAUCCAGCGAUAGCGUUGGCCAAAGUCCUGUGUUGGAUGAAACAACUGAUACACACACACGCACGCACGCACACUAUAUCCUUAUUGAGGAUAUUGUGGAUGCACCUGAAAAAAGCCUUAGAAUUUUUCAAAGUAAAUCUUGUCCCACCGUUCACUGUUGGUGGUGACUAGCUUUAAUCAUAGGCAUAUGCACCGGCCAUAUAACUUUACCAAGAAACACAUGUCUGCCAAACAGGGUUGUUAUCUCCUUUUUUUUUCUCUGUAAUAUCUCUAGUCUGCUUACACAGAGAAUUACUCAUCAUUAAUUUCAUGUUUUAUC